This 931-nucleotide ribosomal RNA is filed under the name uncultured bacterium. RNAcentral's name for it is "bacterial SSU rRNA". It matches the Rfam family "Bacterial small subunit ribosomal RNA", at positions 33 to 947 of the family's 1533-position model. The record is from RNAcentral.
ACGCUGGCGGCGUGCCUAAUACAUGCAAGUAGAACGCUGAAGGAGGAGCUUGCUCCUUCUGGAUGAGUUGCGAACGGGUGAGUAACGCGUAGGUAACCUGCCUGGUAGCGGGGGAUAACUAUUGGAAACGAUAGCUAAUACCGCAUAACAGUAGAUGUUGCAUGACAUUUGCUUAAAAGGUGCAAUUGCAUCACUACCAGAUGGACCUGCGUUGUAUUAGCUAGUUGGUGGGGUAGCGGCUCACCAAGGCGACGAUACAUAGCCGACCUGAGAGGGUGAUCGGCCACACUGGGACUGAGACACGGCCCAGACUCCUACGGGAGGCAGCAGUAGGGAAUCUUCGGCAAUGGACGGAAGUCUGACCGAGCAACGCCGCGUGAGUGAAGAAGGUUUUCGGAUCGUAAAGCUCUGUUGUAAGAGAAGAACGAGUGUGAGAGUGGAAAGUUCACGCUGUGACGGUAUCUUACCAGAAAGGGACGUCUAACUACGUGCCAGCAGCCACGGUAAUACGUAGGUCCCGAGCGUUGUCCGGAUUUAUUGGGCGUAAAGCGAGCGCAGGCGGUUAGAUAAGUCUGAAGUUAAAGGCUGUGGCUUAACCAUAGUACGCUUUGGAAACUGUUUAACUUGAGUGCAAGAGGGGAGAGUGGAAUUCCAUGUGUAGCGGUGAAAUGCGUAGAUAUAUGGAGGAACACCGGUGGCGAAAGCGGCUCUCUGGCUUGUAACUGACGCUGAGGCUCGAAAGCGUGGGGAGCAAACAGGAUUAGAUACCCUGGUAGUCCACGCCGUAAACGAUGAGUGCUAGGUGUUAGACCCUUUCCGGGGUUUAGUGCCGCAGCUAACGCAUUAAGCACUCCGCCUGGGGAGUACGACCGCAAGGUUGAAACUCAAAGGAAUUGACGGGGGCCCGCACAAGCGGUGGAGCAUGUGGUUU